RNAcentral lists this long non-coding RNA (345 nucleotides) under Camelus dromedarius (Arabian camel). RNAcentral's name for it is "lncRNA (ENSCDRG00005011323.1)". The record is from RNAcentral. Lineage: Eukaryota; Metazoa; Chordata; Mammalia; Artiodactyla; Camelidae.
GGCUGAGGGGAGAAGGUGAGGGGCCACGGUUCCCUCGCGCUGCCUUCCUCCAGUCUUUGGGGAAGUUUUGACUCCAGUUUAUCUUAAUCAUUUCCUGUUGUGUCUUCCUGAAGAGGAUCAACUGCCAAAGAUAGUUCAGACAGAGCACCGGCCGGCCAGGCCCCGCACUCCCCGGCGGUGAGGGCUGCUGCCCCCUCAGCGGAGGUGUCAGAGUUGACGCUUUUGUAAGACCAGGGAAAAGGAGUGACUCUUCCCUGCAAGUUGGGGGCUAGCAAAAAGCUGACCCUCUCAGCUGGCACUGCCCACCUGUUUGUCCUCUGUCGGCGCCCCCAGGGCUCACAGACA